RNAcentral lists this ribosomal RNA (253 nucleotides) under uncultured bacterium. Its description in RNAcentral is "partial 16S ribosomal RNA". It matches the Rfam family "Bacterial small subunit ribosomal RNA", at positions 524 to 776 of the family's 1533-position model. The record is from RNAcentral.
UACGUAGGGCGCAAGCGUUGUCCGGAAUUAUUGGGCGUAAAGAGCUCGUAGGCGGUUUGGCGCGUCUGUCGUGAAAGCUCGGGGCUUAACCCCAAGUCUGCGGUGGAUACUGGCAGACUAGAGGCAGGUAGGGGAGAACGGAAUUCCCGGUGUAGCGGUGAAAUGCGCAGAUAUCGGGAGGAACACCAGUGGCGAAGGCGACUACCUGGCCCACUCUUGACGCUGAGGCGCGAAAGCUAGGGGAGCGAACGGG